GCUGACGCGCACGUGACUCGGCGCCCAGCCUUUGCUCGCGGAAGUGGUGCUUUCUCCACGUCGGGCACGGGGUCUUGGGACGCCCCUCAGGGCCGACAAGCCAGAGCUGGCGCCGCGCGGCCGACCCGCAGCGGGGCGCCGGCAUGGUGCAGCUGUACAACCUGCACCCGUUCGGGUCGCAGCAGGUGGUGCCCUGCAAGCAGGAGCCCGAGCAGUUCUGCGGAGGGGGGCGCGACGCGCUGUUUGUGGCUGCGGGUUGCAAAGUGGAAGCGUUCGCUGUGGCCGGCCGGGAGUUGUGCCAGCCGAGGUGCUCCUUUUCCACGCUCGGACGGGUGCUGCGCCUGGCCUACAGUGAGGCCGGAGAUUAUUUGGUGGCAAUUGAAGAGAAAAACAAAGCUACAUUUCUUCGUGCUUAUGUGAAUUGGAGAAGUAAAAGGACUGAGAACUCUCGCGUGUGUAUCCGAAUGGUUGGGCAUAACGUGGAGGCACCCUUCAAUGAAGUCUUCAGAGACCAGAUGUCUAUUGUCGAAAUGCCGCUUCGUGAAGCCCCCUUAUGCAUUUCCUGUUGCCCUGUGAAAGGAGACCUUCUUGUUGGCUGCACACAUGAGUUAGUCUUAUUUAGUUUGAAGUAUCAGAUCAUUAAUGAGGAAUUCUCAGUCUUGGAUUUUGAGCGUUCUUUAAUAAUACACAUAGAUAAUAUCACUCCUGUAGAAAUUUCUUUUUGUGUUGGAUAUGUUGCUGUCAUGUCAGAUUUAGAAGUCUUAAUCCUGAAACUGGACUCGGACCCUACGAAUGGAGGGAGUGUUAACCACCAUCCAUGUAAGACCAACAAUCCAAUGAAACAGGCAGAAGAAGGCAUCAGUAAUGAAACUUUUCACAUUGAGUCAGAUGAUUUUGUUAUUUGCCAAAAGCCCAUGGAACUUCUUGGUGAAAAAAGUAAACAGUCUGGAGUGUCUGUUACACUGGAGUUAACAGGGUUAACUGAUGAAAAUCAAAAAUAUUUCUGUGUUCAGCAUCUGCUCUAUAGACAUUUUACUCCUGAUAUUUCAUCUUAUAUUUUGCCUGAUGACAUCAAGUUGCAUUCACUUCAGCUGCUACCCAUUUACCGAACAGGUUCUCUUACUUCUGAUGGAAAAAAUUCAUCUCAGGAAAAAGAGUUGCUGAGUCUCUUUUGUUUUUUCUCAUUACCUCAUGUGGGCUAUCUCUACAUGGUUGUCAAAUCUGUUGAAUUAUUGUCAGUCUACCAGUAUCCUGAGAGGUCUCAGCAGGCGGUGCUCACACCACAAUUCCUGCACGUCAUCACAAGUAACAACCUGCAGUGUUUCACAGUGCGGUGCAGUGCAGCAGCAGCUCGUGAGGAGGACCCCUAUGUGGACACCACCCUGAAGGCUUGCCCACCUGUCAGCAUGGAUGUCUGUGUUUUACGAAUACAGCUCUUUAUAGGCUUGAAAACCAUCUGCCACUUUAAAAACCACAUCAUACUUUUGACCAAGGCAGACCCUGAGGCCAUGCCAGAGAGAAGAGAGUCACCAAAGAGGCUUCUUUCUAGAAAAGAUACCAGUGUUAAGCUCAAAACACCUGUGACUGAAGCUGGGUGGAAUUUGUAUAUUGUGAAUACGAUCUCACCAGUGCAACUGUACAAGGAAAUGGUAGACUAUAGUAAUACGUACAAGACUGUGAAAACCCAGAGCUGCAUCCACCUUCUCAGUGAGGCUCAUCUUUUAGUGAGAGCUGCCCUAAUGGAUGCCCAAGAGCUGGAACCUGGAGAGAGAGCAGAACUUUUAGAAGCAUUUAAAGAAAGCUGUGGACACCUUGGAGAUUGUUACAGCAGGCUUGACACCCAGUAUUCCCACCUCGCUUUGCCGUACUAUAAAAUGUCUGGCUUGACCAUGGCUGAAGUUUUGGCCCGAAUGGAUUGGGCAGUAGAGGAUGGAUCACAGAAAUACGAGAAGGGAUUACUCUUUUACAUUAGUCAUUCACUUUAUGAAAACCUAGAUGAAGAAUUAAGUGAAGAAUUAGCAGCAAAAGUGGUCCAGAUGUUUCAUGUGGCUGACCCAAAGCAGCUGCCUCAUAUUCUGUGUAGUCCUUCUAUGAAGAAUACUAAUCCUUUAACUGCCAUGAGCUAUCUAAGGAAGCUGGAUAAUUCUGGAUUUUCAUCUAUUUUAAUGACGUUGACCAAGGCAGCAGUGGCUCUGAAAAUGGGAGAUCUUGACAUGCACAAAAAUGAAAUGAAAAGCCAUUCAGAGAUGAAGUUGGUAUGUGGCUUCAUUCUGGAACCUCGGCUGUUGAUUCAGCAGAGGAAGGGACUGGUUGUUCCAACUGAGCUUGCAAUUCACUUGAAAGAGACCCAGCCUGGAUUGCUUGUGGCUUCAGUUCUGGGCUUACAGAAGAACAACAAAAUUGGAAUUGAAGAAGCAGAUUCCUUCUUUAAGGAUCUUUGUGGUAAGGAUGAAGAUACGAUUCCUCAGCUCUUGGUAGACUUUUGGGAAGCUCAGCUUGUAGCAUGUCUCCCAGAUGUAGUACUUCAGGAACUUUUUUUCAAGCUCACAUCACAGUACAUCUGGAGAUUGUCUAGGAGACAGCCCCCUGACACCACACCACUACGAACCUCAGAGGAUCUGAUAAAUGCCUGUAGUCACUAUGGCUUAAUCUAUCCAUGGGUUAACAUCUUAAUAUCAUCUGAUUCCUUAGUUGAUAAAAAUUAUACAGAAGACCUUUUAAAAUUACAGUCUCUUAUAUGUGGUCCUUCAUUUGACAUAGCUUCCAUUAUCCCGUUCUUGGAGCCACUCUCAGAAGAUACUAUUGCUGGCCUCAGUGUCCAUGUUCUGUGUCGUACACGCUUGAAAGAGUAUGAACAGUGCAUAGACACACUGUUAGAGAGAUGCCCAGAGGCCGUGAUUCCGUAUGCUAAUCACGAACUGAAAGAAGAGAAUCGGACUCUGUGGUGGAAAAAACUGCUUCCUGAACUUUGUCAGAGAAUAAAAUGUGGUGGAGAGAAAUAUCAGUUCUACCUGUCAUUAUUAAAAGAAACAUUGUCAGUUGUUGCUGUGGAACUAGAACUAAGGGAUUUCUUGAAUGUCCUCCCAGAAGAUGGCACUGCAGCAUUUUUCUUGCCAUAUCUUCUUUACAGCAGUCGAAAGAAAUCAUUGACUUGAAGGUAUCAUUUGAAACAUACCUCAAUGGCAUAUGAGACUGAAUUUUUAAAAAUUGAGUGCCAGGUGGAGGCUGAUUUUUAUUCCAAGAGGCAACAUCAACUCACUGUUGUUGGGGACAUGACAAUCAUUUUCAUCCCAAGAACACUUCAAGCAAAUAUUUUGCAAGUAUCUUAAAAGAAUGUCACUCCAGACAGUCCAGAAUUUUAUCUUCUUGGCAUUUCCAGAUUUCUCUAUAGGGUCACUUUUUUUUUAGUAAUUUUUUUGAGAAAAAUGUUAAUGUUUUACCAUGGCAAAGUUAUAAAAUCAUAUUUCUAGUUACUUUUCAAACUCAUGAUGUAUCUCUCUCUGAAUCAAGCAGAAUAGGAGUUUACAAAGUGGACUUUCCUGUCUGUUAGCAUUAUUUCUUGAAUGCGUGUUUUUCAGCCAAGCCUUGGUUUCAUUUUUUGAUGAUGUGUACCCUUGCUCUUCUAGCUAAGCAUAUGUGAAAAUAAAGAAGUAUUUUAUUUGCAACUA
RNA transcript from Choloepus didactylus (southern two-toed sloth), 3668 nucleotides. It is a transcript of the gene named HPS3 biogenesis of lysosomal organelles complex 2 subunit 1, with no coding region annotated. The transcript has 18 exons. NCBI's taxonomy places the organism in Eukaryota, Metazoa, Chordata, Mammalia, Pilosa, Megalonychidae. The record is from RefSeq and is a predicted model, not a curated record.